UUUAAUUUAGCUUACAACAAUCAAAUAUGGCAUGGAGAUGGGAGCUAGAACUCUUCAAAAUAGAGUCUAAAUAUCAGUAAUCUUCAUGAACCUGUGUACCAUCUAUGGCAAAAGGAAAGUCUACAUUGGGGGAAUGUCAACAGCCUUUUUGGUGCACUGUGUCCUGGUUGGUAUUAGUGCUGCUUAUGAAUUGUCAUUUAUUGAUGGACGAUCGUGGUGUCUUGUCAGUUAGGCACGAAAAUUGGUCUAAUGUGAGAAGAUACUUUAAUUUUUCUUUACUCUAUUUGCAUAAUAACGUGUCAACUAGUGAUUGUAGUGGAGGAUAUAACGGAAGACUUGCUUCAGGCGCUAGGUUGGGCAAAGCUUG
RNAcentral lists this long non-coding RNA (367 nucleotides) under Setaria viridis. RNAcentral's name for it is "long non-coding RNA (SVIR_LNC007962)". The record is from RNAcentral. Lineage: Eukaryota; Viridiplantae; Streptophyta; Magnoliopsida; Poales; Poaceae.